Molecule: unclassified non-coding RNA, 2292 nt
Filed under: Hevea brasiliensis (rubber tree)
Lineage: Eukaryota; Viridiplantae; Streptophyta; Magnoliopsida; Malpighiales; Euphorbiaceae
Source: RNAcentral
ACUGCAUAAUGAGGGAGACUGAUAUGGCAUUUGACCUCUUUCAAAAUUGGUUGACAAGGAAAAGAAAAAGUCUUUCAUUGUGCCACAGUUAUGCAGGGUCAGACUCAGAGCUGAAUUACUGGUUUUCAUGCUAGAGCAGAAUUUAAAUUGCAAGUCAUGGUCCUUGUAUUUGAAUUUCUGAAAAUUAAUUGACCACCGCUGCUUUCUGUUUGAGGAAACUUUGAACCUUGCAUAUGAUUUUUCUGAAGGUAUGUAUCUCUUUUGAUGUUUUAUGAUUUUUUGGAGUGUCAAUGUCCUAUUCUUUGAGAUCACUGGAAUGCCUACUACCAUAUGUGAACACAAUGCUCUUCUAUAGUUUUCCUGUAUAGUGCAACUCUCCUGAGAAUCUAAUUUUUUAACCUGGAAGAUUUUGUAUUGUUCACUACAUGCUAUAGCGUAGGCAAUGACUUUGAUAGGUGCUUUGUCAUAGUACUGACUGCUGUGGUUAGUUACUAGAUAAUAAGGUGUGAUAAUCAGUGAAUCUUAGUUGAGUUAAUAGUACAUUGUUGGACUUUCUUUGGUUCAUUUGUUUUAUUUGAGUCCAGCAUGAUUUAUAUGAGGUUCACUUGGUCUGUGCAAUGAUCGAGUUACUUGGGUUCCAUUGAUGUGACUAGUUUGAUAAUGUGAUUAAUAUUAAAACUUCUCUAUUUUUACUUUCACAUACAAUGAUGUGUCUUGGAUGUGAGUUGGGCCCAUAAGUUGUUUCUAGCUUCCUGCUUUCAUCUUAGACAGUGAGAGAUCAAUAGAGAGAUUUUAUAGUCCCCUCCACCCCACAAAAAAAGAAUUGGUUAUGGGGGGCUAGGAUUUAUUGAAUCAAUUUUUGAUGCUGUUUAACUGGUAUGCUUUCAUGUGCUUAGUGAACUGAGGUACAUCUGGAACUCAGGGAUUUAGUGCAGUGCAUCCAUUUGCUUUCAAGAUCAGUAAGGAAUAGACUUCACCAGUUGGAGCUAAGUACCUUGGUUGAGAGCAUUGAAUACAAGCAAUUGCAGUUACAUGCUCUAGGAAGUGAAGUACAUCCUAUUUCAAGUGUCAAUUACUUUUGAGAAGCACAAGAUAUUUAACCAAGUUAUUAUAUCAGGUUCUUAUUGAUUUGCGUUCAUCAAAAUCAGUGCUUUGGUUUGAUAUAGUUUCCAAAUCUCGAUAUUGCAGGACCCUACUCAGCAACGGUUACCAUCUUCAAUGCAGUGAGAAUGUGCCAUAAGAACCCAAAUGCCUCCUUGGGCUGAACUAUUCAGUUCUCAAUGUGCAACUCCUCUUUUUGUGUCUGUGGAAAGAGCCUUGGCAGGGAUGUCUUGUAUACUUUCCCCUAGUGCCUGAGCAACGAUAAUGGAUUGAACAGAAAAAAAAAAAAGGACAAGAUACGAAGAAUGCGAUAGUUGUAUAUUUGUGCGAGUUGUUUUAACAAUGGAAGUGAGUUUUCUGUUGUUCAUGACACCGUGUAAUUAAGAUUGAACUUGUGCAAAUAGAUUAGUUUGAGCCUUCGAGCUUUGAAUCUAGUGCUUGUCUGUGAUGAAAUGGUAUACUGUUGUUUUGCUAGAGUUGACAAAGAUGACUGCGAGUGCCAAUCCCUACAACUUCAUGUCAGACACAACUUGAAUGAUCUUGUGUGGCCAAGAUUUUAGGCCUUGUCGAUAACAAAAUGAUAUGCUGCAAUAUCAAGCAUAUUAUCAAAUACAUAAUUCAUGGACUGCAUAGCAGGCUGGUAGAGAAAUGUGUCAAGUCUAAAGUUUGUUCUCUUUCUUUGUGUCUGUGUGGAUAGCUUGGAAAAGGGAUUGGAUACAUGAAAAUCAUGGUCUAAAACAAGAGACCAUCGGUGCAUAUGUUUUGGAAAGAAGAGCAGUUGAUAAAUAAGAUUUGAAAUGCAUUUCACAAAGUCUGAUGUAUCUUUUUAUGGGUGGAGGGACUGAGAAUUUUCUUAAAGAAGAUUAGUCUUGAAAUAUAAAUCUACACAUGGAAGCAAAACGAAGGAACUUUCGGCUCUUAAGAAGAAAGAUCAGCAAGAGUAAACGUGAUUUUGGGCAGUUGUGUGAUGGAUUCGUUGGUGCCAUGGACUGCGGUGUUGAUUAACUUCUUAUGAUUGCCUAUAACGGCCGUUUGAUUAUCUGAAAUCUCUCCUCUUGUACUAUCCAAAAAAAAAUGAUCUAUUUAAAAAAAAUUGCCACAUUUGUUUUUUCAGUUUAGCUCUUCACCUCUAACAAUUUGUAGCUGAAAGGUUUCCAGCUAAUAAAAUCUUUUGAGACUUAGGAUUUGUUU